RNAcentral lists this ribosomal RNA (253 nucleotides) under uncultured bacterium. RNAcentral describes it as "partial 16S ribosomal RNA". It matches the Rfam family "Bacterial small subunit ribosomal RNA", at positions 524 to 776 of the family's 1533-position model. The record is from RNAcentral.
UACGUAGGUGGCAAGCGUUGUCCGGAUUUAUUGGGUUUAAAGGGUGCGUAGGCGGAUUUGUAAGUCAGUGGUGAAAUCCUGCAGCUUAACUGCAGAACUGCCAUUGAAACUGCUUAUCUUGAGUACAUUUGAGGCGGGCGGAAUGUGUCAUGUAGCGGUGAAAUGCUUAGAUAUGACACAGAACACCGAUUGCGAAGGCAGCUCGCUAAACUGUAACUGACGCUGAUGCACGAAAGCGUGGGGAUCCAACAGG